Molecule: ribosomal RNA, 498 nt
Filed under: uncultured Sphingobacteriales bacterium
Lineage: Bacteria; Pseudomonadati; Bacteroidota; Sphingobacteriia; Sphingobacteriales
Description: bacterial SSU rRNA
Rfam family: Bacterial small subunit ribosomal RNA
Source: RNAcentral
CGCCUUGCCAGCCCGCUCAGAAACUUAAGGAAUUGACGGGGCCCGCACAAGCGUGGAGCAUGUGGUUAAUUCGAUGAUACGCGAGGAACCUUACCUGGGCUCAAAUGUAUGUUGACGUAUUCUGAAAGGGAUACUUCUUCGGACAAUAUACAAGGUGCUGCAUGGUUGUCGUCAGCUCGUGCCGUGAGGUGUCGGGUUAAGUCCCAUAACGAGCGCAACCCCUAUCAUUAGUUGCCAUCAGGUCAAGCUGGGGACUCUAAUGAAACUGCCUACGCAAGUAGUGAGGAAGGUGGGGAUGACGUCAAAUCAGCACGGCCCUUACGUCCAGGGCUACACACGUGCUACAAUGGCCGGUACAAAGGGCAGCUACCUGGUGACAGGAUGCUAAUCUCAAAAGCCGGUCUCAGUUCGGAUCGGAGUCUGCAACCCGACUCCGUGAAGCUGGAAUCGCUAGUAAUCGUGAAUCAGAAUGUCACGGUGAAUACGUUCCCGGGCCUU